This 468-nucleotide ribosomal RNA is filed under the name uncultured bacterium. RNAcentral describes it as "partial 16S ribosomal RNA". It matches the Rfam family "Bacterial small subunit ribosomal RNA", at positions 28 to 507 of the family's 1533-position model. The record is from RNAcentral.
GACGAACGCUGGCGGCGUGCUUUACACAUGCAAGUCGAACGGAAAGGUCCUGCUUUUGUGGGGUGCUCGAGUGGCGCACGGGUGCGUAACACGUGAGUAACCUGCCCUUGACUUUGGGAUAACUUCAGGAAACUGGGGCUAAUACUGGAUAGGUGCUCCUGCUGCAUGGUGGGGGUUGGAACUUUUCGGUGGUUUGGGAUGGACUUGCGUCUUAUCAGCUUGUUGGUGGGGUAGUGGCUUACCAAGGCUUUGACGGGUAGCCGGACUGAGAGGGUGACCGGCCACAUGGGGACUGAGAUUCAGCCAAGACUACUACGGGAGGCAGCAGGGGGGAAUAUUGCACGAUGGGCGGAAGCCUGAUGCAGCAACGACGCGUGCGGGAUGACGGCCUUCGGGUUGUAAACCGCUUUCGCCUGUGACGAAGCGUGAGUGACGGUAAUGGGUAAAGAAGCACCGGCUAACUACGUG